GACGAACGCUGGCGGCGUGCUUAACACAUGCAAGUCGAACGGAAAGGCCCUGCUUUUGUGGGGUGCUCGAGUGGCGAACGGGUGAGUAACACGUGAGUAACCUGCCCUUGACUUUGGGAUAACUUCAGGAAACUGGGGCUAAUACCGGAUAGGAGCUCCUGCUGCAUGGUGGGGGUUGGAAAGUUUCGGCGGUUGGGGAUGGACUCGCGGCUUAUCAGCUUGUUGGUGGGGUAGUGGCUUACCAAGGCUUUGACGGGUAGCCGGCCUGCGAGGGUGACCGGCCACAUUGGGACUGAGAUACGGCCCAGACUCCUACGGGAGGCAGCAGUGGGGAAUAGUGCACAAUGGGCGGAAGCCUGAUGCAGCAACGCCGCGUGCGGGAUGACGGCCUUCGGGUUGUAAACCGCUGUCGCCUGUGACGAAGCGUGAGUGACGGUAAUGGGUAAAGAAGCACCGGCUAACUACGUG
RNAcentral lists this ribosomal RNA (468 nucleotides) under uncultured bacterium. RNAcentral's name for it is "partial 16S ribosomal RNA". It matches the Rfam family "Bacterial small subunit ribosomal RNA", at positions 28 to 507 of the family's 1533-position model. The record is from RNAcentral.